This 467-nucleotide ribosomal RNA is filed under the name Brachygaster sp. 290. RNAcentral describes it as "eukaryotic LSU rRNA". The record is from RNAcentral. Lineage: Eukaryota; Metazoa; Arthropoda; Insecta; Hymenoptera; Evaniidae.
CCUGAGAAACCCGAAAGAUCGAAUGGGGAGAUUCACCGUCAGCGACUUUGGCUUCGCGGUGGUGCGCGAUGCGCGCGACGCCCUUCGGGCGCGUUGCGCCGCACGCCGCUACCGUGUCUCAUGUCCAAACGGCGUCGGCGUGCACUUCUCCCCUAGUAGGACGUCGCGACCCGUUGGGUGUCGGUCUACGGCCCGGUGCGCCGCCUGUCCCGUCGCUUCGGCGUCGCGGGGCAGACGCCCGGAUGCCCGAUCGGCUGCUCGGCGGUAUUCGUACGGUAUACGGCCGCAAUUCUUUCGAACUGCGUCUCAGGCCCGCCGCAAGCGCGGUCAGUGUUACACCCGGAGGUUACGGACCUAGUGCCGUCCCCGGGCCUGGCCCGCUGUUCGCCGGCGGAUGUCCUCUGACAGGCCGAUCGCAAACGAUGUGAUUACCGGUCGGCGACGCUACUGCUUUGGGUACUUUCAGG